This 444-nucleotide ribosomal RNA is filed under the name uncultured bacterium. RNAcentral describes it as "partial 16S ribosomal RNA". It matches the Rfam family "Bacterial small subunit ribosomal RNA", at positions 339 to 795 of the family's 1533-position model. The record is from RNAcentral.
CUACGGGUGGCUCCAGUGGGGAAUAUUGCACAAUGGGCGCAAGCCUGAUGCAGCAACGCCGCGUGAGGGACGAAGGCCUUCGGGUUGUAAACCUCUUUUAGCAGGGAAGAAGCGAAAGUGACGGUACCUGCAGAAAAAGCACCGGCUAACUACGUGCCAGCAGCCGGGGUAAUACGUAGGGUGCAAGCGUUGUCCGGAAUUAUUGGGCGUAAAGAGCUCGUAGGCGGUUUGUCGCGUCUGCUGUGAAAACUGGAAGCUCAACUUCCAGCCUGCAGUGGGUACGGGCAGACUAGAGUGCGGUAGGGGAGAACGGAAUUCCUGGUGUAGCGGUGGAAUGCGCAGAUAUCAGGAGGAACACCGAUGGCGAAGGCAGUUCUCUGGGCCGUUACUGACGCUGAGGAGCGAAAGCGUGGGGAGCGAACAGGAUUAGAUACCCGAGUAGUC